AAGUCGUAACAAGGUAACCGUAGGUGAACCUGCGGUUGGAUCAUUAACAAAUAAUUUAGGCCCCUGGCUGCCUCAAAAGGGCGAAGGGGGAAAACCUAAACAUUUGUGUGCACCAUAUCUGUCCUUGGCAGUUCGAGUGUCCUGGGUCGCGUAACUGCCUCAGGUACCUACCGAGGCUUUCCUUUCGGGGUUUGCCAAAGUUGGGCUGCCGCUUCUAGAACAAACCUUUUGUAAUUUAUUUUUGCCUGAAUUUGUUUGAUCUUCAUGAUUGAAUUUAAAUACAACUUUUGACAACGGAUCUCUUGGCUCUC
This 311-nucleotide unclassified non-coding RNA is filed under the name Rhizophlyctis rosea. RNAcentral describes it as "partial internal transcribed spacer region". The stretch from base 1 to 46 matches the Rfam family "Eukaryotic small subunit ribosomal RNA", at positions 1786 to 1831 of the family's 1831-position model. The record is from RNAcentral. RNAcentral also lists the same sequence under 1 other name. Lineage: Eukaryota; Fungi; Chytridiomycota; Chytridiomycetes; Rhizophlyctidales; Rhizophlyctidaceae.